Coccidioides immitis RMSCC 2394 is the source of this 103-nucleotide non-coding RNA. NCBI's taxonomy places the organism in Eukaryota, Fungi, Ascomycota, Eurotiomycetes, Onygenales, Onygenaceae. The record is from Rfam.
GGCACUAUGGCAGAGUGGUUAUUGCGUGAGCCUUGAACCUCCCCAGACGGUGCAACCCCAGCUCAUCCCUUCGGGGUCAGCGGUUCGAAUCCGCUUGGUGUCG